AGAUUGAACGCUGGCGGCAUGCCUUACACAUGCAAGUCGAACGGUAGAGUAGCAAUACUCGAGAGUGGCGAACGGGUGAGUAAUAUAUCGGAACGUGCCCAGUCGUGGGGGAUAACGUAGAGAAAUUUACGCUAAUACCGCAUACGAUCUAAGGAUGAAGGCGGGGGAUCGCAAGACCUCGCGCGAUUGGAGCGGCUGAUAUCAGAUUAGGUUGUUGGUGAGUAAAAGCUCACCAAGCCGACGAUCUGUAGCUGGUUUGAGAGAACGACAGCCACACUGGGACUGAGACACGGCCCAGACUCCUACGGGAGCAGCAGUGGGAAUUUGGACAAUGGGCGAAAGCCGUGACUCCAGCAAUGCCGCGUGCAGGAAGAAGGCCCGUUGGUACGUAAACUGUCGUUUUAGUAACGGUAAACGAAAAGGUCUACUUUUACGAAAUUAAAGAGGGACCCAAUGGAACGGUACCGUAAAGGAAUUAAAGCAACCGGACUAACUACGUACGACCAGCA
Molecule: ribosomal RNA, 509 nt
Filed under: uncultured soil bacterium
Lineage: Bacteria
Description: bacterial SSU rRNA
Rfam family: Bacterial small subunit ribosomal RNA
Source: RNAcentral